AGAGUUUGAUCCUGGCUCAGAUUGAACGCUGGCGGCAGGCCUAACACAUGCAAGUCGAGCGGAUGAAGAGAGCUUGCUCUCCGAUUCAGCGGCGGACGGGUGAGUAAUGCCUAGGAAUCUGCCUGGUAGUGGGGGACAUCGUUUCGAAAGGAACGCUAAUACCGCAUACGUCCUACGGGAGAAAGCAGGGGACCUUCGGGCCUUGCGCUAUCAGAUGAGCCUAGAUCGGAUUAGCUAGUUGGUGAGGUAAAGGCUCACCAAGGCGACGAUCCGUAACUGGUCUGAGAGGAUGAUCAGUCACACUGGAACUGAGACACGGUCCAGACUCCUACGGGAGGCAGCAGUGGGGAAUAUUGGACAAUGGGCGAAAGCCUGAUCCAGUCAUGCCGCGUGUGUGAAGAAGGUCUUCGGAUUGUAAAGCACUUUAAGUUGGGAGGAAGGGCAGUAAGCUAAUACCUUGCUGUUUUGACGUUACCGACAGAAUAAGCACCGGCUAACUUCGUGCCAGCAGCCGCGGUAAUACGAAGGGUGCAAGCGUUAAUCGGAAUUACUGGGCGUAAAGCGCGCGUAGGUGGUUCGUUAAGUUGGAUGUGAAAGCCCCGGGCUCAACCUGGGAACUGCAUCCAAAACUGGCGAGCUAGAGUAUGGCAAAGGGUGGUGGAAUUUCCUGUGUAGCGGUGAAAUGCGUAGAUAUAGGAAGGAACACCAGUGGCGAAGGCGACCACCUGGGCUAAUACUGACACUGAGGUGCGAAAGCGUGGGGAGCAAACAGGAUUAGAUACCCUGGUAGUCCACGCCGUAAACGAUGUCGACUAGCCGUUGGGAUCCUUGAGAUCUUAGUGGCGCAGCUAACGCAUUAAGUCGACCGCCUGGGGAGUACGGCCGCAAGGUUAAAGCUCAAAUGAAUUGACGGGGGCCCGCACAAGCGGUGGAGCAUGUGGUUUAAUUCGGAGCAACGCGAAG
This 963-nucleotide ribosomal RNA is filed under the name uncultured bacterium. RNAcentral describes it as "bacterial SSU rRNA". It matches the Rfam family "Bacterial small subunit ribosomal RNA", at positions 8 to 966 of the family's 1533-position model. The record is from RNAcentral.